CUUUUUUUCCUUUUUUUUU
Molecule: small RNA, 19 nt
Filed under: Arabidopsis thaliana (thale cress)
Lineage: Eukaryota; Viridiplantae; Streptophyta; Magnoliopsida; Brassicales; Brassicaceae
Description: ATSL240800
Source: RNAcentral